CUUUGACCUCAAAUCAGGUAGGACUACCCGCUGAACUUAAGCAUAUCAAUAAGCGGAGGAAAAGAAACCAACAGGGAUUGCCUCAGUAGCGGCGAGUGAAGCGGCAAAAGCUCAAAUUUGAAAUCUGGCGUCUUUGGCGUCCGAGUUGUAAUUUGAAGAAGGUAUCUUUGGGCCCGGCUCUUGUCUAUGUUCCUUGGAACAGGACGUCACAGAGGGUGAGAAUCCCGUGCGAUGAGAUGACCCGGGUCUGUGUAAAGUUCCUUCGACGAGUCGAGUUGUUUGGGAAAUGCA
RNAcentral lists this ribosomal RNA (291 nucleotides) under Candida albicans. Its description in RNAcentral is "partial 28S ribosomal RNA". It matches the Rfam family "Eukaryotic large subunit ribosomal RNA", at positions 1 to 284 of the family's 3401-position model. Lineage: Eukaryota; Fungi; Ascomycota; Pichiomycetes; Serinales; Debaryomycetaceae. The record is from RNAcentral.